This 72-nucleotide transfer RNA is filed under the name Semnornis frantzii. RNAcentral's name for it is "tRNA-Trp". It matches the Rfam family "tRNA". From Rfam's summary of the family: Transfer RNA (tRNA) molecules are approximately 80 nucleotides in length. Their secondary structure includes four short double-helical elements and three loops (D, anti-codon, and T loops). Lineage: Eukaryota; Metazoa; Chordata; Aves; Piciformes; Ramphastidae. The record is from RNAcentral.
AGAAACUUAGGAUAAUCGCUAAACCAAAGGCCUUCAAAGCCUCAAAUAAGAGUUAAAUCCUCUUAGUUUCUG